GUCUACGGCCAUGCCACCCUGAACAAGCCCGAUCCCAUCUGAUCUCGGAUGAGAUCAAGCAGAGUCGGGCCUGGUUAGUACUUGGAUGGGAGACCACCUAGGAAGACCAGGUGCUGUAGGUG
This 122-nucleotide ribosomal RNA is filed under the name Pteropus alecto (black flying fox). Lineage: Eukaryota; Metazoa; Chordata; Mammalia; Chiroptera; Pteropodidae. The record is from RNAcentral.